RNAcentral lists this ribosomal RNA (253 nucleotides) under uncultured bacterium. Its description in RNAcentral is "partial 16S ribosomal RNA". It matches the Rfam family "Bacterial small subunit ribosomal RNA", at positions 524 to 776 of the family's 1533-position model. The record is from RNAcentral.
UACGGAGGGUGCAAGCGUUAUCCGGAUUCACUGGGUUUAAAGGGUGCGUAGGUGGGCUGGUAAGUCAGUGGUGAAAUCUCCAGGCUUAACUUGGAGACUGCCAUUGAUACUAUCAGUCUUGAAUACCGUGGAGGUCAGCGGAAUAUGUCAUGUAGCGGUGAAAUGCUUAGAUAUGACAUAGAACACCAAUUGCGAAGGCAGCUGGCUACACGAAUAUUGACACUGAUGCACGAAAGCGUGGGGAUCAAACAGG